Molecule: ribosomal RNA, 1834 nt
Filed under: Minisyncoccota bacterium
Lineage: Bacteria; Bacillati; Minisyncoccota
Description: partial 23S ribosomal RNA
Rfam family: Bacterial large subunit ribosomal RNA
Source: RNAcentral
UUAAAAAUAUAGAAUCCGUACCGCAAACCGACACAGGUGAUCAGGUCGAGUAGACCAAGGCGAACGAGUGAGAGGUCUUCAAGGAACUCGGCAAAAAAGCAGCCGUAACUUUGGAAUAAGGCUUGCCAUUCUUAAUUUAUUAAGUUUGGCCGCAGCGAAAGUAUCUCUGGCAACUGUUUAUCAAAAACACAGCUCCCUGCGAACUCGCAAGAGGAUGUAUAGGGGGUGACACCUGACCAAUGCCAGAAGGUCAAAUAUCGGUGGUACAUGGUCGCAAGAUUGUGUGCUGGCUGAUAUAAGCCCUGGUGAAUGUCGGCCGUAACUAUAACGGUCCUAAGGUAGCGAAGUACCUUGUCGGGUAAGUUCCGACGCGCACGAAUGGCAUAAUGACUGGAGAGCUGUCUCGAAGACCUGCUCGGUGAAAAUACAAUACCGGUGAAGAUGCCGGUUACCUGCAGUUAGACGAAAAGACCCUAGAAGCUUUACUGCAGCUUGAUAUUGAGUGUAUGGUUAUACUGCGUAGCAUAGAUGGGAGAGGUUUGAUGGUUAGGAUUUCGGUUCUGAUCUACUCAACAGUGAAAUACCAUUCUUUGUAACGAUAUACUCUAAUCUCUAAGGCAAAAACUUAGAGAGACAGUAUCUGGUGGGUAGUUUUACUGGGGCGGUAUCCUCCUAAAGAGUAACGGAGGAGUUUAUUAAGGUUAGCUAGGCGCGAAUGGAAAUCGUGCCGAUAGUGUAAUGGCACAAGCUAGCUUAACUGUAAGACGUACUUGUCGAGCAGAUACGAAAGUAGAACAUAGUGAACCGACAUUUCGCAUUAGAUGCGGAUGAAGAUUAACGGAUAAAAGCUACUCUAGGGAUAACAGGCUAGUUCCGCCUAAGAGUUCAUAUCGACGGCGGAGUUCGGCACCUCGAUGUCGGCUCAUCUUAUCCUGGUGGUGGAGAAGCUGCCAAGGGUUUAGCUGUUCGCUAAUUAAAAAGAUACGCGAGCUGGGUUCAAACCGUUGAGACUGUAAUUACGAAUUAAUAAUUACGAAUUAAGAAUGAAAUGCAUUUUGCAUCCAAUUCCUAAUUCUUAAUUCCUAAUUCUUAAUUAUUAUUUCGACAGUUUGAACCAAUCGAGAGGAAAAAAAGAAAAGAGAUUUUCUAAAAACUGUUUUAAUCUGAGAUGCCUGGUACAAAGUUUUGUACACACGGCGGUUCCGAUGUAAUAUCGGAAAGAAUUUCACUUAUAUCGGUGAAAUCCUAAUUCGAAAGAAUGGACAAUACCGAGGGAAUAAGUAAUUAACAAUGACUAAUUACCAAUUACUAAUUUAGAUGCAUUUUGUAUUUAAUUAUUAAUCAGUAAUUAUUAAUCAGUAAUUAUUCUUGCCCGUAGAGACUGAAUGUGAAAUAGCUCGUAACGAAGUGGAGAUCCUGAGCGUAAUCGCGAAGGGCAAAAUUUCAUUAUGUGUGAAAGUUACAGUCCGAUCCCACAAGUAAUUGUGGUUCUAUCAAUAUAUUAUUUAAACGCGAUAUUGGUGGAAGUAAAACAUAGAUGCGUGAGACAGGUUGGUCUCCUAUCUACUGCAGGCGUUGAUUCUUGAGAAGAUUUGUUCCUAGUACGAGAGGACCGGAAUGAACUGACCUCUGGUGUGUCGGCUCUAGCGCCCGCUGGACUGCCGAGUAGCUAUGUCGGGAAUGGAUAACCUCUGAAAGCAUCUAAGAGGGAAGCCAACUUCAAGAUGAGGAAUCGUUUGAGAAACCUAAGAGAUUAUUAGGUUGAUAGGCACUAGGUGUACGCAGAGUAAUCUGUUCAGCCAAGGUGUACUAAUCGUUCGAUUCCUAUUAGGAA